RNAcentral lists this small RNA (80 nucleotides) under Sinorhizobium meliloti 2011. Its description in RNAcentral is "putative ncRNA". The record is from RNAcentral. Lineage: Bacteria; Pseudomonadati; Pseudomonadota; Alphaproteobacteria; Hyphomicrobiales; Rhizobiaceae.
GAAAGUUCGCCCGUAGGGCGCCGGAUCGAGUCCUGCCGGCCAGAGCAGCGUCGCUGCCCGCCGGCGGCGCGGGAUCGUCA